GUGGGGAAUUUUGGACAAUGGGCGCAAGCCUGAUCCAGCCAUUCCGCGUGCAGGAUGAAGGCCUUCGGGUUGUAAACUGCUUUUGUACGGAACGAAAAGCCUCUGGUUAAUACCCGGGGGUCAUGACGGUACCGUAAGAAUAAGCACCGGCUAACUACGUGCCAGCAGCCGCGGUAAUACGUAGGGUGCGAGCGUUAAUCGGAAUUACUGGGCGUAAAGCGUGCGCAGGCGGUGAUGUAAGACAGUUGUGAAAUCCCCGGGCUCAACCUGGGAACUGCAUCUGUGACUGCAUUGCUGGAGUGCGGCAGAGGGGGAUGGAAUUCCGCGUGUAGCAGUGAAAUGCGUAGAUAUGCGGAGGAACACCGAUGGUGAAGGCAAUCCCCUGGGCCUGCACUGACGCUCAUGCACGAAAGCGUGGGGAGCAAACAGGAUUAGAUACCCGUGUAGUCC
Molecule: ribosomal RNA, 450 nt
Filed under: uncultured bacterium
Lineage: Bacteria
Description: partial 16S ribosomal RNA
Rfam family: Bacterial small subunit ribosomal RNA
Source: RNAcentral